This 950-nucleotide long non-coding RNA is filed under the name Nicotiana benthamiana. Its description in RNAcentral is "long non-coding RNA (NBEN_LNC030760)". Lineage: Eukaryota; Viridiplantae; Streptophyta; Magnoliopsida; Solanales; Solanaceae. The record is from RNAcentral.
GUUCCUGGUGGGGUGAUCCUUAAUCAGCAUAAAUAUAUUUCUGACCUGCUGCAUCAGUUUGACUGUGUUAAUGUUUCUGCUGUUGUUAGUCCUUUGGAUAUUAAUGUCAAACUUCAUGCUGAUUCUGGUGAUCCUUUUUCCUCCCCUGAUCAAUAUAGAAGUAUUGUUGGUAAACUCCUAUUUUUGACUCACACUAGGCCUGGCAUCUGUUUUGCUGUUCAGCAUGUGAGUCAUUUCUGAAAUGUCCCAGAGUCCCUCAUAUGAAUGCUGCCCCCCAUGUCCUCAGAUAUCUCAAGGGCACCUUAUCUUUGGGUCUGUUCUACUAUUCCACUUCUUAUUUCUCUGUUACUGCUUAUUCUGACAGUGAUUGGGCUGCCUGCCCUGAUACUUGGAGGUCUGUUACUGGUUUUUGUGUUCUCUUAGGUGGUUGUCUGAUUAGUUGGAAGUCCAAGAAGCAGCCUAUUGUCUCCUUAUCUUCUGCUAAGGCAGAAUAUAGGGCACUCAGUAAAGUGGUCGCUGAGUUGACUUGGCUCUCUCGUUUACUAACUGAUCUUGGUGUAUCUGUUGCUCUUCCUUUCUCUGUUUUUUGUGACAGUCAGGCUGCCAUUCAUAUAGCCAAGAAUCCUGUUUUUCAUGAACGGACUAAGCACAUUGAGGUGGAUUGUCAUUUUAUUCGGGAUCAACUGAAUGGUGGUUUCAUCACUGUUUCUCAUGUGCCUACUUCUCGACAGCUUGCUGACCUCCUCACCAAGCCUUAUUGUCAUUUUAUUCGGGAUCAGCUGAAUGGUGGUUUCAUUACUGUUUCUCAUAUGCCUACUUCCCGACAGCUUGCUGACCUCCUCACCAAGCCUCUGCCCGGGACUGUCCUCCAUCCUUUGCUGCUCAAGUUGAAGGUGGUCUCCCCCUCCAACUUGAGGGGGGGUGUCGAGCUACAAGAUUAUUUGGCCUCU